This 253-nucleotide ribosomal RNA is filed under the name uncultured bacterium. RNAcentral describes it as "partial 16S ribosomal RNA". It matches the Rfam family "Bacterial small subunit ribosomal RNA", at positions 524 to 776 of the family's 1533-position model. The record is from RNAcentral.
UACGUAGGGGGCAAGCGUUGUCCGGAUUUAUUGGGCGUAAAGAGCGUGUAGGCGGUCCGAUAAGUCCGCUCUGAAAGCCCGGGGCUCAACCCCGGGAGGCGGGCGGAUACUGUCGGGCUAGAGUCCGGAAGAGGCAAGUGGAAUUCCUGGUGUAGCGGUGAAAUGCGCAGAUAUCAGGAGGAACACCGAUGGCGAAGGCAGCUUGCUGGGACGGUACUGACGCUGAGACGCGAAAGCGUGGGGAGCAAACAGG